GACGAACGCUGGCGGCGUGCUUAACACAUGCAAGUCGAACGGAAAGGCCCUGCUUAUGUGGCGUGCUCUAGUGGCGAACGGGUGAGUAACACGUGAGUACCCUGCCCUUCACUUUGGGAUAACUUCAUGAAACUGGGGCUAAUACCGGAUAGGCGCUCCUGCUGCAUGGUGGGGGUCGGAAAGUUUCGGCGGUUGGGGAUGGACUCGCGGCUUAUCAGCUUGUUGGUGGGGUAGUGGCUUACCAAGGCUUUGACGGGUAGCCGGCCUGAGAGGGUGACCGGCCACAUUGGGACUGAGAUACGGCACAGACUCCUAAGGGAGGCAGCAGUGGGGAAGAUUGCACAAUGGGCGGAAGCCGGAUGCAGCAACGCCGCGUGCGGGAUGACGGCCUUCUGGUUGUAAACCGCUUUCGCCUGUGACGAAGUGUGAGUGACGGUAAUGGGUAAAGAAGCACCGGCUAACUACGUG
Molecule: ribosomal RNA, 468 nt
Filed under: uncultured bacterium
Lineage: Bacteria
Description: partial 16S ribosomal RNA
Rfam family: Bacterial small subunit ribosomal RNA
Source: RNAcentral